Erinaceus europaeus (western European hedgehog) is the source of this 5923-nucleotide long non-coding RNA. RefSeq lists it as uncharacterized. The record is from RefSeq and is a predicted model, not a curated record. NCBI's taxonomy places the organism in Eukaryota, Metazoa, Chordata, Mammalia, Eulipotyphla, Erinaceidae. The transcript is spliced from 3 exons.
GAAAACUUUGCCUUGCUGAGCUCGCUGUUGUCUUCCAGUUCUCACGUUAAUUACACUGUGCAUAAUCACCCCCAAAAGUGAUGUUUAAAGAAAUGUUCUCCACGUAUCUUUUUUUGUUUGUUUGUUUGUCUACAUUUCAGAAUUUUCCCCCAAGAGCAAAGUUGAGGUCCAGAACAUGGACUUGCUCGUAGUUUAGCUGGGACAUUGUUUUAUUAGCAAGGUCCUGGCAACUUGUAUAAAAGAUUUUGAUAUCUUCCCCAAAUUCAUUUUUUUUCAGUUGUCCACAAAUACAAGAAUGUUUGAGCAUGUUUUGCAAGUCAGUACACACUUGGAUAUUUAUUUCAAAGAGCUGACUUCCUUGAUGGAAUAAACUUUGUUAGAACUUUGAAAACCUCUCUUUGAUGAAAUUCCUUAUCAAUACAGUCAGUUCUUGGAAAUUCUAAACUGACCUACAUAAUCUCCCCUACCUGUAGCAUAUUCUCCACAUUGUUUUGCUUUUUGAACAAUUUUGUAGAAAUCCAAAGUCAUUUUAAAUGAAGAGCAAAAUGACUGGCAUAACAGCUUGAAAUUCAAGAAAGGUAAAAUAUGCAUGAAGUCAUCCCAGGCAGUGAGAGUGGAGGAAUUCUCUGAACCUGAAAACUGGCUUAUUAGGCUGAAUUUUGAAGUCUGAUGCUCCACUAAUCCUUGGGGGAGAGGAGGCGGGAAGCAUUCUAGGUUGUACUUGUACCAUAUAAUCAUUUUUUUUGUUGUUGUUGCUACCUUACUUGGAAAUGAGCUUAGUGUAAAUGAUAGCAGGAGUAUACGCUUAAAAAUUUGCUCUUUUCUUAAUUUCUUUAUUGGGGAGUUAAUGUUUUACAUUCGACAGUAAAUACAAUAGUUUGUACAUGCAUAACAUUUCCCAGUUUUCCAUAUAACAGUACAACUCCCACUAGGUCCUCUGUCAUCCUUUUUGGACCUGUAUUUUCCCCACCCCCACCCCCUCCCCAGAGUCUUUUACUUUGGUGCAACACGCCAACUCCAGUUCAGGUUCUACUUGUGUUUUCUCAUCUGAUCUUGCUUUUCAACUUCUGCCAGAAUGUGAUAUCAUCCCAUAUUCAUCCUUCUGUUUCUGACUUAUUCCACUUAACAUGAAUUUUUCAAGGUCCAUCCAAGAUUGGCUGAAAACAGUGAAGUCACCAUUUUUUAUAUAGCUGAGUAGUAUUCCAUUGUGUGUAUAUACCACAACUUGCUCAGCCACUCAUCUGUUGUUGGACACCUGGGUUGUUUCCAGGUUUUUAGCUAUGACAAAUUGUGCUGCUAAGAACAUGUGCAUACACAGAUCUUUUAAAAAAAAAAAAAAAACUCUUUAGCUCCUCCUGGUGAUUAGGAAACCACUAAACAACACAAUGAGGAAUCUGUCCACAUUGCCCAAGAGGUGAUGUGUUCAACAUUAUAGCCUAGAUCAUUUCCAGAAUAGGCAAGUAUUUGCAGAUUAACAGGAGUAAAUGGGAUGUAAAGCCCAAGGCAUCUGAAACAAAUUACUCAGGGUGGGUACACUUUUAAGAAGUUUAACAGCAGAUGCCUGAUUUUGUGGAGCAGGACUGUGACUAGCUUCCUGGAAGGAUGAAAGGUUCUCAUGGAAGCAAAAAGUUCAAAAGCUUCCUUGUUCUCAGUCUCAGGAUUGGGAGAAGGAGGGACAGUGAAGUAGAGGGAGAUGGGCACUGGUGGCUGUGAUGAAAACUACUGGCUUAUGAUAGCUAAACACGCUUAGCCUCAUAAUCCCAACAAGCUUUCCCACUAAGUGGAUCUAAGAACAUGAGAGUAGAUCAGCUAAGAAUGUGACUUCUGAACACAGAUAGGAAGUGCCCUACAACUGCAAACUGUUUUAAGAUAGAUACCUAAGGAAAUAGAUGUAUUUAGAGACCUUUAUCCUGGGCCUUCUUUGGCAAAUUUGCACACAAUGAGAAUUCAGGUGAACUGAACUUAAGACCGUGGCAUGAGAAUGUCCCCUUACAGGUAGAUCAUGCCCCUUUACGCCCACGCCUAGAUUGCUUUGAUGAAGGACAGAGUGAUGGGGACAUCGUGUUUCAGUUGUUCAAAUAAUGUACUGAAAAGGGGGAAAAUGUGCAUACUACUAUGUGUGAAGACUCAUGCUCAAGCCCCUGGUACCCACCUGCAGAGGGGAAGCUUCACUGAGUAGUGAAGGAGUACUGCAACUGGUUCUCCUCUCUGUCUUUCCUUCACUAACUUGUCCCCUAUAUUUAAAACAAAACAAACAAAAAAAAGUGGCUGGGAAUGGUGGAACCACUUAGCAUGGAACCCCAUACUGAGAAAAGAAAAAACAACAACAAAACUCCUCCUGAACUGGAAGGAGGACUAUGAGUUUCCUCUGAUGGGAAAUUUCCUCAGAAAUAUCCCUGAGAAGGGAGGUAUCUGUUGCCUCUAAGGUUUGUCUGUUUGGUUUUUUGCCUCCAGGGUUAUUGCUGGGGCUCAAUGCAAGCACUACACAUCCACUGCUCCUGGUGGCCAUUUUUUCCAUUUUAUUGAGUAGAACAGAAAUUGAGAGAGAGGAGAGGGAGAAAGAGAGGUAGGCACUUGCAGACCUGCUUCACCGCUUGUAAAGCAUUGCCCCUGCAGGUGGGGAGCUGGAGGUUUGAACCCAGAUCCUCGCGUGGGUCCUUGUGCUUAGUACUAUGUGCACUUAACCAGGUGCGUCACCAGGUGUGCCACCACCUGUCCCCCUCGAAGUAGGCCCCUUACCUGGCCACCCAGAUACAUCCUUAUCUAUAUUUCUCUGUAGGCAGGCAACAACCCUUUGACAACCUACAGCAGGUCCACUGUCCCACAGCCAGUGUCUAUUCUCUUGUAUUCAAAUCCAUUCGCUGUUCGCUAUCUUGUGAUCAUUAAAGAAUGUCUGUCCUAUUUGUCACAUGAACAUAUUAAGACAAUUUCUGGGAGUCAGGUGGUAGUGCAGCGGGUUAAGCGCAUGUGGCACAAAGUGCAAGGACUGGUUAGGAUCCCGGUUCAAGCCUCCGGCUCCCCACCUGCAGGGAAGUUGCUUCACAGGCGGUGAAGCAGGUCUGCAGGCAUUUCUCAGUCUCUCUUCUUCUCCUCUGUCUCCCCCUUCUCUCUCAAUUUCUCUCUGUCUCUAUCCAAUAACAAAUAAAUAAAUUUAAAAAAAGACAAUUUCUAGAAAUCCACAGGCUAUCGUCUUAUUUUUAAACUGGGGGGUUUAGAAUGUGAUCUAAUCCGAAACAGGCUGGGAGUAUGGAUUGACCUGCCAAUGCUCAUGUCCAUUGGAGAAGCAAUUACAGAAGCCAGACCUUCCACCUUCUGCACCCCAUAAUGACCCUGGGUCCAUACUCCUAGAAGGAUAAAUAAUAGGAAAGCUAUCGGGAGGGGAGGGGAUACUGAGUUCUGAUAGUGGGAACUGCGUGAAAUUGCACCCCUCUUAUCCCACAGACUUGUUCAUUAUUAAAAAAAAAAAAAAUCUAAUGUGGUAGAAGUUGCAUGACCACCACAGGAGAUGUCCCCAUAGCCAUCAACAUGUGACUUAUGCUGGUAUUUUGUUUGACUUAAUGAGAUAUUGGAUGUUUAGGCGGAAACCUCCUGGAAUGCUGCUUCUUUCUUUUGCUUUUAUACUGUCUUUCAUUUCCACACUUCAUAUCUUUUCCCCAAGUAUCCUCACUAUUUCUUCGGAUUCUUUCCCAUGCCAAACUUUCACAUUCUCUGAUUUCCUGUCUUCUACCUAUCUGAGCCAUGGACCAAUACGUUGUGAGUAUUUAAAAAUUUUCACUUUAUUUUCAUCCUCAGAGGCACAAUUCCCCAGAUUCUGCUAUGUGGUUCCAUCAGCAGGAGUUCCAUUAGCAGGCUUGAUGUUACUCUUUAAAAACUAGUUUUUGUGGGAAAUCGAGUAAUAAAAUAUGGUCAAAUAACACCCCCAUAGAAGCAAAGCUUUAAAGUAUGAGAAGCUGAAAUGUUUUCUAUUAAACAGUUCUUGCUCAAGCAAAGAAAGAAAUUAAAUCUCUACGUUAGCUACAUGAUUUCCCUAGACAAAAGCGGCUGGUGGUCUGAAGGAAUUUCAAAGCAUUGAAAAAAAGAAGGGAGUCGGGCGGUAGUGCAGUGGGUUAAGCGCACUUGGCUCAAAGAGCCAGGACUGGCUUAAGGAUCCCGGUUCAAGCCCCAGCUCCCCACCUGCAGGGGAUUCGCUUCACAGGCGGUGAAGCAGGUCUGCAGGAGUUUAUCGUUCUCUCCCCCUCUCUGUCUUCCCCUCCUCUCUCCAUUUCUCUCUGUCCUAUCCAUCAAUGACAACAACAAUAAUAACAAUAACAACUACAACAAUAAAAAGAAGAAAAAAAAAGGAAAGACCAGAAGAGGUGAUUCUGCAAAAACAGGGAGAAAAUGCUGUAAGUGCCCCAUUACAAAAAAAAAAAAAACACGCUUUAAAUUCAUCCCUCACAGAUAGUACAUGUUUCAGUUAGCAUUUUCACUCAGAUUAAGUAAUAUAUGUAAGUGAAUGUGCCAAAAGAAAGGCAAUUUCCAAAAAAUAAAUAAAUAAUUAAUUAAAGGUGGGAAAGAAGCAAGGGAAACUACUAAAAAAAGGUCAGGACUUCAGAAGAAGUGAGUUGCAUUCUUAGCAGAACCUCAAGCAAUGGGGCAAGUAUUGUAGCAACAGGUAGUCAGCAACUGGGACAUAGCAGGGUUAAAAGUGUGAAAUAGAAAAUUGUGAAAUGUGUCCUAGCAAACAUUACUUUACUAAGAGUAAGAUGCAGAAGGCUUUGCAGCUGCAGUCACCAAGGCCAAUCUUAAGCCAAGCAUUCUGUGAAAACAUGCAUGGGGUAAUAGCACCGAACAGCUGUGUCUACAAUGCACGUGGCUGGGUUCUGGAAAUACCUUACCCAUACUCAGUAAAGGUUCGUUUCUGAAUGCUACUCCCUCAUCUGAGAUCUGACAGAGUCAAACCAGAUCAUCCACAGCACCGCUUGUGGCAUUUUGAAAGGAUGAUACUCCAGUUGAAGCUUCAUGUAUGUAAGUGCAGAAAAGGGUCUGCAACUUUGGCAUUGACAGAGGAGCAGCCCCAGGUAAAUUCUGGCUCACCCAUUACUUUCUCUUUGCCUAACUGUAGUGGGCCCAAGAGGAAAUUACACAGUUGAAAUGCACAUUGACAGAUUUAGAGACAAACGUUGUCUUCUGCAGGUGUGGUUUGUUUCAGCAAGAUUAGAAUGAACACUAUCAGUUUGGUAAAUGCACAGGAAGCCCGGAAGUUGGGUGCUUGACCACACUUCUGGUCUUCUGAGAAACUUCCAGUUUACUAAACUGAGAAACUCAGUUGAAAUACACAAGAUUUCAGUUUAGCUCCAUGCCGUGUGCAGAUCUUCUCAGGGUUUUCCACGUGGGCAUACUGUCAGGAUAGCAGAGAAACAUGCUCUCAGCAGCGGCUACCUGGGAGAACAUGGAAUGGAGCUCAGUGAUGAGAAGCAGGCUAUGGUGUGUUCACAUCCAUCGCCCAUGAGCUAUGUGACUCCUACAGGUUAUUUUCUCCAGUUACCUUUUGCAUCUGUUUUUCUUUCUAGUAACCAUGGUGUCAGCCUGAGGAUACAACGAGUUAAGACCUAUGAACUACUUAAUAGAAUGUCCACCAUGAGGGUGGACACUGAAUUUCUUUUCACUGAACUUCCUUCAGAAUGUUCUAGCGGAGUGGACCCCUCUACACUGUAGGAAUUUGAAGGCAAAGAGAACACUUCAGGAUUACCAAAGAUCACCAAUCCAAUUACAAUGGGUUCCUAAACAGCUCUUUGUUCUUUCAUUUGAAGAGAUGACUACAAAAUUGUUUUCCACUUCCUUCAGAACUGCUAUUUCAUUACCUCCUGCUCAGAUGCAAGGAAUGACCCCAAGCUCUGCAAUCUCUUAGAGAAAAAGAUAGACUCCUUCCAUCUUCUAUCAC